This 468-nucleotide ribosomal RNA is filed under the name uncultured bacterium. RNAcentral's name for it is "partial 16S ribosomal RNA". It matches the Rfam family "Bacterial small subunit ribosomal RNA", at positions 28 to 507 of the family's 1533-position model. The record is from RNAcentral.
GAUGAACGCUGGCGGCGUGCUUAACACAUGCAAGUCGAACGGUGAAGGCGGAGCUUGCUCCGCUGGAUCAGUGGCGAACGGGUGAGUAACACGUGAGCAAUCUGCCCCUGACUCUGGGAUAAGCGCUGGAAACGGCGUCUAAUACUGGAUACGAGCUGCGAAGGCAUCUUCAGCAGCUGGAAAGAAUUUCGGUCAGGGAUGAGCUCGCGGCCUAUCAGCUUGUUGGUGAGGUAAUGGCUCACCAAGGCGUCGACGGGUAGCCGGCCUGAGAGGGUGACCGGCCACACUGGGACUGAGACACGGCCCAGACUCCUACGGGAGGCAGCAGUGGGGAAUAUUGCACAAUGGGCGAAAGCCUGAUGCAGCAACGCCGCGUGAGGGACGACGGCCUUCGGGUUGUAAACCUCUUUUAGCAGGGAAGAAGCGAAAGUGACGGUACCUGCAGAAAAAGCGCCGGCUAACUACGUG